RNAcentral lists this ribosomal RNA (429 nucleotides) under Chloroflexota bacterium. RNAcentral describes it as "Chloroflexi bacterium partial 16S ribosomal RNA". It matches the Rfam family "Bacterial small subunit ribosomal RNA", at positions 355 to 776 of the family's 1533-position model. The record is from RNAcentral. Lineage: Bacteria; Bacillati; Chloroflexota.
UGGGGAAUAUUGCACAAUGGGCGCAAGCCUGAUGCAGCCAUGCCGCGUGUAUGAAGAAGGCCUUCGGGUUGUAAAGUACUUUCAGCGGGGAGGAAGGGAGUAAAGUUAAUACCUUUGCUCAUUGACGUUACCCGCAGAAGAAGCACCGGCUAACUCAGUGCCAGCAGCCGCGGUAAUACGGAGGGUGCAAGCGUUAAUCGGAAUUACUGGGCGUAAAGCGCACGCAGGCGGUUUGUUAAGUCAGAUGUGAAAUCCCCGGGCUCAACCUGGGAACUGCAUCUGAUACUGGCAAGCUUGAGUCUCGUAGAGGGGGGUAGAAUUCCAGGUGUAGCGGUGAAAUGCGUAGAGAUCUGGAGGAAUACCGGUGGCGAAGGCGGCCCCCUGGACGAAGACUGACGCUCAGGUGCGAAAGCGUGGGGAGCAAACAGG